GGUUGAUCCUGCCAGUAGCAUAUGCUUGUCUUAAAGAUUAAGCCAUGCAUGUGAAAGUUCAGUUGCAGGAGUGAUGAUUAUAGGAGGGAAAAGGGAGCAUUUUGUUUCUUUUUUCAAUCUAUGGUUGUUUUCCUGGACCAACGAAACUGCAGAUGGCUCAUUAAAACAGUGCUAAGCUACGGAGUGGAAUCCUGUCGAAAUUUUUUUCAUUUGAGCAAUUGAUUGAGAAAAACGAGACGAUAUAAGGAUAACUGUGGUAACUCCAGAGCUAAUACUUGC
This 279-nucleotide ribosomal RNA is filed under the name uncultured eukaryote. Its description in RNAcentral is "partial 18S ribosomal RNA". It matches the Rfam family "Eukaryotic small subunit ribosomal RNA", at positions 6 to 174 of the family's 1831-position model. The record is from RNAcentral.